This 263-nucleotide ribosomal RNA is filed under the name uncultured bacterium. Its description in RNAcentral is "partial 16S ribosomal RNA". It matches the Rfam family "Bacterial small subunit ribosomal RNA", at positions 57 to 305 of the family's 1533-position model. The record is from RNAcentral.
GCAAGUCGAACGAGAAAGCUCCUUCGGGGGUGAGUAGAGUGGCGCACGGGUGAGUAACACGUAGGUGACCUACCUUUUAGUGGGGGAUAACUCCGAGAAAUUGGAGCUAAUACCGCAUAAGAUGAACAACUUUGAAAAUAGUUCAUGAAAGGAUGCCUCUUCUUGAAAGCAUUCACUGAAAGAUGGGCCUGCGGAUCAUUAGUUUGUUGGUGGGGUAAUGGCCUACCAAGACUACGAUGAUUAGCGGAUCUGAGAGGAUGAUC